UUUCCUCUCCGUGACCCUUCUUCCCCCUCUAGGGGUCCUGGGCUGCCCUGAGGCCACCGCCUAGCAAGAUCAAGAUAGGGCUUGAGCGGCAGUGGGAUAGGGCAGUGGGGGUUCCGGGGGGGUCCGGUGCAGGCAGAACCAAGAGUGUGCCGGCGGAGGGCUGUCGGUACAGGGUGCAGGGCGUGGCGGCUGCAGGACCUCAGCUUGCCUCUUUAAAUCCCUUCCUGGGCACCGCGGUGGCCCGGCCCUUUCCCCUCGUGCUGUUUCUGCUGGAAACGCCGCACAGUCUCCUCGGGGGCAGCCGCCAGCGGAAACGGUUAUUGGCCGCCAGGCAAGCCAGUCCCAUCCUUCCCAGCAACUGGGACUUUCCGGGCAGGGCUCCCCAGCGCGGGUUCAGCUAAUUAAGGAAGCAAUUAGCCUCCCCUGAGGCUAUUCAUGCUUCCUCACCCACAGUUCUCAGGUUCUGUGAGACCAGAGCCUCAGUCUCCCGUGAGCAGAGGGUGUGUGUGUGGCUGCCACUAUUCUGCAGACACGCUGGCUCCACCCCAGAGAGUUGCAGGGCCAGGAAAUCUGCAUUUAAACAGACCCUGGCUCUCACACUUCGGAAACUGCCCGAAGCACCUCUCAAAUAUGGGACAGGUGCUUAGGCCGAAAAUCAGGAAUCUCUUGAAUGAAUGCAUGAAGGUGGAGCCCUUUCCCUUAAUGCGCAGGUGAAAAGGGCACCUCGGUGGAUUCUACUAAAUUUAAUAGAAGACUUGAUGGAUUACAGAGGACUCCUGCUCCAGCUGUGGGGAACUCCAGCCCGCACUUUGCCUCCAGCCCGAUGGUGCAAGAUCCAGCUUCUCUUCAGCCUGGCAUCAAACGUCUUUUUGAUCAGCUUUUCAUCCAUUUUCUGAAAAUGUAGUGAUUGAGAGAUGUUCUGAAUCUUGCAGAAUUCUGUGUCGCACCCUGGCCACACAUCAAUGCAGGCCUGAACCUGACCCUGGGUGGACUCCCUGCUCUCUGCCAGCCCCUUUCUCACCCCUGGGUCCCCACGGCCCCUGGCUCUCUCCCCUCUGCUAGAAUCUCGCUGAGGGAUUGGUGGGGAGGGGGUGGUCACGCACUGGGUGGAGAUCUGGUGCCCCCUGGAGGCCGGACAGGAAGGGCCAGGGCGGACAAGGUCUUUGAGAACUCGGUGGCAUCCCGCUCCUGAUGGCCUGGGUCCCACCGCCCCUCCCCCAGCCUUCCUGACAGCAGAGGAGAUUGAUGGGGCGCUGCUCGAAUGUUCUUCAUCAGCGUCUUCAGUAAUAAGCUUCUCCAUUGGGUAACCGAUCCUAGUUUAGCAAAACCGUUUGUCAACCAUUUCCUCCCUUGAGCUUGAUAAGAACCCCGUGGGAGAGGAGAGAGGGGGGCCCCCCAGGAUCUGAAAAGCUGUGCCUCAGCCAAGUUCAUGAGUCACUGGCGAGGAGGCCUGUAGGUCAGCAAAGCCUAGGAGGUCAAGAGUGCCCACAUGGGGACCUACGGGCCUCAGGGCCGCAGGUUGCUGGGUUGGACCCUGGCUUGGAGCUCAGGAUAGAAACCCGGAAACCCCACAGGCAAAGAAGGAUGCAGAACAGAACAGGGCAGAACCAAGGACCCAGUGAGGGUGGCUGGCGUCAGAGCAAAUAUCAGAGUUCACAAGGUGAAAUAAUCCAAAAAUCUAUACAGAAAAAGCUAAUCAUUUUCUCCAAUCUCUCCCCCAAAGGUGUCUACUCCUGCAGGCUUACCUGUAACCUUUGUCACUCACUCUUCUGAUUCUGCAAACAUAUAAACCACGGAGCCACAGCCAAGAGAAUCUGGACUUGUUCGUUUUUCCUGAAAUAGGAUAUCUUAAAUAAUCCGUGGCUCAGCACUGCGCCCUUUUUUUUCUUUUCUUUUCUUUUUUUUUUUUUUUUUGAGACGGAGUCUCGCUCUGUUGCCCAGGCUGGAGUGCAAUGUCAUGAUCUUGGCUCACUGCAACCUCUGCCUCCUGGGUUCAAGCAACUCUCCUGCCUCAGCCUCCUGAGGAGCUGGGACUGCAGGUGCAAGACACCACGCCUGGCUAAUUUUUGUUAUUUUUAGUAGAGACAGUGUUUCACUAUGUUGGCCAGGCUGGUCUCGAACUCCUGACCUCAAAUGAUCUGCCUGCCUCGGCCUCCCAAAGUGCUGGGAUUACAGGCACAAGCCACAGCACCCAGCCUCACUGUGCCCUUUUCACUGGCAGGCAUUUUAUUGUCCCUACAGACCCAAGACGGGGUGGGGGAGACGUGCUUUGUGCUCACCUGGCUGGUUCAUGGGCAGGUGGCCUGGAGGACCCAGCCCUGGCAGCUGUGGGGUAGCUCCAGCCUGGGCCGGACAGCUUCUUUCAUCGCAGGCACCACUGCGGACAUUGCUGGGAGGAAGAGGAGGGAGAAGCGACGGGCUUCAUUAGGAACGGCUUUCGAUGGAUUGGACGAGGCGCGUCCACCCUGGGGAGGGCCAUCAUUUUAUUCAGUCUACUGAUGCAAAUGCUUAUCUCUUCUGGAAACACCUUCACAGACAGACCCAGAAUAUAGUUGAACCAAAUACUGGGCACCUCAUGGCUCCAACAGGUUGACACAAAAAAUGAACCAUUGCAGAAAACGAAGAACAGUCACCAACUCCCACCCAUGCAGCUGGCUCAUUUGCUGGGCUGCCCUCCCCAGCAGGUGGCACAGGAAUCCCUGCCUUGGCAGGGAGGAGGCCUGGGGUGUGUGCAGGUACCCAUGGGAAGUUUCUUUGCCAUGGGGAAAGCCAGAGUCACCCCUUGCUUGAACACAAGAGUUGGAGGUUUCAGUGAGCUGAGAUUACGCUAUUGCACUCCAGCCUGGGCGGCAGAGUGAGACUCUGUCUCUAGAUAAAUAAAUUAAAUAAAUAAAUAAAUAUAAUUUAAUAUAAAUAACUAGAAAUUUUUCAAUACUUGCAUCUCUGUAGGUUACCUCUGGAAGUGCAGGGCUUUGUCUUUUUGGAUUAACUCAGAAAUUAGACCUUCAGAAAACAACAUCAGCUCUGAUUCUCUGCACCCUUGAUGCUGCCGGUGGCGACUGCGGCUUCCUGAUGGAAAUGUAGACCUGAACAUAAGUCGCAGAAAAAUGCAGACUUGAGUUGGAGCUAAGCUGACUCAGGUAUUUUGAGAUCUAUAAUCUGAGUGGGGAGCAGAGAGAUUCCAAGAUAUUUGCAUUCAGUGGCUUUUGCACACAGCAGAACCUGUGCUGAGGGCAUUUCUAGGGUCAUUACUCAUAAUCUGCAGUGUCUCUUUCCAGGGUUCCAGGCGUCUUACCCCAGAGGUGAUUUCCAGAUUUCGAGAAAAACCCAGGAUUUAGGGCUGGCACGGUGGCUCACGCCUGUAAUCCCAGCAUUUUGGGAGGCCGAGGCAGGUGGAUCACUUGAGGUCAGGAGUUUGAGACCAGCCUGGCCAACAUGAUGAAACCCUGUCUCUACUAAAAAUACAAAAAAAUUAGCCGGGUGUGGUGGCAUGCACCUGUAAUCCCAGCUACUCAGGAGGCUGAGGCAGGAGAAUCACUUGAACCUGGGAGGCAGAGGUUGCAGUGAGCCUAGAUCGUGCCAUUGCACUCCAGCCUGGGCAACAAGAGCAAAACUCCAUCUCAAAAAAACAAACAAACAAACAAACAAAACGCAAGAUUUAGAUCCCCUCACUGUAGCGCCCUCAUGGCCUGGUAACUUUAGCAAAGCCUCCCCCUCCUCCCCCUCCUCCUCCUCCUCCUCCUCCUCCCUCCUCCCUCUUCUAGGUACAGAGGAUGAGCAGUGGCUCCCCACACCAUCCCCUGAAGCAGAGGCCCCUCUUCCCUUCAUUCCCCAUUCUGUACAGAUGCUAUGGGAGCUUCAGGCUCCACACUCAGGUCCCCAGUCCCUGAAACAUAAAGCUGAAUAAGACAGAGUCCCUGGGCUGAAGGGGCCACUGUUGGCCAUGGAAGCAGAGUAAACAGAGUGGGGCCGACGUAAAGGUGAGCUGGGGUGCACUGGAGGCACAAAACGGGCAAGGAUGGAGACGUGGGUGACGAGGUAGGGCAGACAGGCAGAGCUCAGACUGGGUCCUAGGCAGGGAGAAGUCACCAUUGUAGAGCAAGGACGAUGUGGUCAGAUCUGGGCUUUAGAAAUCUAGGUGUCUAGCCUAGGCAAUAUAAUGAGACCUCGUCUCCACAAAAAACUUAAAAAAUUAGCCGAGUGUGAUGCCACAUGUCUGUAGCCGCAGCUACUCAGAAAGCUGAGGAUCCCAAGUGGAAGGAUAACUCUAGCUCGGGAGGUCGAGGCUGCAGUGAGCCAUGAUCGUGCCAUUGCACUCCAGCCUGGGCAACAGAGCGAGACCCUGUCUCAAGAAAAAAAAAAAAAAAGUAAAAGAAAAAGAAAGAAGAAAUACAGCUCUGGAGCUGCCUAGGACAGGGUUGGGGACUCUCCUGACUAGCUGCCAGCGAAUGUUUGCUUUCUGUGGCCAGGCCCUGCCUGGCCAGGGUGCACAGGGCUGAGCGAGGCAGAUGGAGCCCCUGCUCUCAGACUGCUUUUCCGAAUGCCAUCUUGACGCUGCUCAAGUUUGGAUUUUGGUUUUCAUGGAAGUCAACUAUGGUUCUGACAUGGCCACCUCUGUCUCAACUGAUGCACGGCCUAGGGAAUCCGGUGAUGCUUCAGCAGGUGGCAGGGCUCAGCUGCACCCGCCCGGGCCCCAGCGCCGCCUGCCACUCCUCCUCCUCCUCCCAGGCUUCGGCUGAGAGCAGGGCCUGGAGCCAGCCUGCUGGGUGGACUCCCAGCUCCACAGUUGGCUAGCUCUGGGGCCCUGGGGAGAUGUCCACCCUCUCUGUGCUUUAAUUUCUUCACCUGUGAGGUGGGGAUGGUAGCACCUCCCUCAUGGGGUGGCUAUGGCUGUGAAAUGAGGUAACGUCUCGGUGUUAGGCAGCUUCCAAAACGGCUCUCCAAGAUCCCCUGCCUCCUGGCCUUCAUAGCCUUGUGGAACCCCUGGCCCUGUGUGUGGGCUGGACUCACUGCCUGCUUCCACCCAAGAGAACAGGGCACAGCUGAUGGGGGUUACUUCUGAGACUAGGUGAUCAAGACUGGGGCUUGCUGGGUCCCUCUGUCUCUGACUCUUUCCUCUGCUCUCUCCUGCUCACUUGCUCACCCUAAUACUAUAUCAAG
RNAcentral lists this long non-coding RNA (5160 nucleotides) under Homo sapiens (human). Its description in RNAcentral is "HSALNT0278394". The record is from RNAcentral. Lineage: Eukaryota; Metazoa; Chordata; Mammalia; Primates; Hominidae.